Molecule: ribosomal RNA, 253 nt
Filed under: uncultured bacterium
Lineage: Bacteria
Description: partial 16S ribosomal RNA
Rfam family: Bacterial small subunit ribosomal RNA
Source: RNAcentral
UACGGAGGGGGUUAGCGUUGUUCGGAAUUACUGGGCGUAAAGCGCGCGUAGGCGGAUUAUUAAGUUAGAGGUGAAAUCCCAGGGCUCAACCCUGGAACUGCCUUUAAUACUGGUAAUCUAGAGUUCGAGAGAGGUGAGUGGAAUUCCGAGUGUAGAGGUGAAAUUCGUAGAUAUUCGGAGGAACACCAGUGGCGAAGGCGGCUCACUGGCUCGAUACUGACGCUGAGGUGCGAAAGCGUGGGGAGCAAACAGG